Ictalurus punctatus (channel catfish) is the source of this 1475-nucleotide long non-coding RNA. NCBI's taxonomy places the organism in Eukaryota, Metazoa, Chordata, Actinopteri, Siluriformes, Ictaluridae. The record is from Ensembl.
GCUGAAUGAUUGAGCAUUUUCAGAAGUUUUUGUUAUUAAUAGAAAACCCCCUGUGUAUUCUGAACAGCUAAUCAGAAUCAAAUGUAUCUUUACCCGUUAAUGAUAUGGUUAUAAACUGUCCAGUGUAGCUGCCAGAAGCAACUCCACUAUGAGUUAAUCCACACCACUGCUCUUACAGACGGUACAAAACUUUGUUGUUCACAAAAUCACUAAUCUCUCAGAUUUCUACCUAUAAAGCAUGAAAUAUGAUACUUUUUAGUUAUGAUAUGCAAAGAGCUUUUAUUAAGCCUUUAAAAAAAAAAAAAGAAUAAAGACUCAAGGCAAUAUUUCUGUAAUUUCACCAAACAAAGGCAUGAAGCCGAUAGCCAUGAACUCUCUGACUGUUAUUAGAAAAUGUCGAUGUUAUCUUACGUAUUGCUACAUGUGGUGUGGAAGUGCAGGGGCCAAUCUUCCGCAAUCUGUGCUCUAGAUCAGUGAACUGCCUAAUAUUUAAAUACUAUGUAAACGCUCUCAGCAUCUUAGAAGCUUUUUUCAGAUGAUCUUAGCUAUGAAAUGUAUUGAAAGCAGUUCAUCUUACAGAUUUCACUGUAAAUGUGUAACAGCUGAUCACAAUUGUACAGUUAAAUAAACCGAGUGACCACUGAGAUCGCAGGUGGAUUUAAAUUGCACAUAAAAAAUCUGGCUUUUUCAAAUUGGGCAAAUUUUAAAUAUAGUGAUUCCACUAAAACAAUGUAGGUAACUGGGACAGAAUGGAGUGUGUGUGUGUGUGUGUGUUAUUAAUAAUCAUAAAUCAUAUGCUCAUACUGAAUUUUAGUACACAACAAUGGACCAUCUGUUGAACCAGUGUUGUCAGGAAUUAAAUAACACCUGUUGCUAAUAUUUCAUAAUGUAUUUUAAACAUGAUUCAAAUUAUUUUGCCUUUUGAAUGACUAACUAUUAAAUUGUAAUGAUAACAUUUUAUUGUAGGUUCUCUUUUUUCCCCCUUUAUAAUAAGGUGUACAGUGCAUUGCAGACAGAACAUGCUUUAUUAGAGAGUGUAUUUGUUUCAGGGUUUAUUCCUGGAUUUAUCCCUCCACAGGUGUACAGGAGCAGACUGCUGUUAUGUCAAUGUGGCGAUGUUCAUCUGUAGUAUGGACUUGUGAAAGUGCCUUUAAAAGCCGUUUUAGAGGAGCUUCAAGCCAAUAUCCUCUGUGCUGUCACGCUCAUCGUUCAUACCUGUGCAGUACAUAGGAAAAGACAGUGAAUGCAUUAUUGAUCAGUAGAAGUAAUUCGAAAAAUAUACUGCUUAUUCAUUGUGACAUUGCACUUUUAUGUACGUAUAAGACUGUAUAUAUGGCAUGCAACAUCCUAACAAGUUAUGGAGCAUUUUUUCUUUUCUUUUCUUUUCUUUUCUUUUCUUUUUUAAAUUUAUUUUUAUUUUAUUUGGGCAGAGGCCCUGCUCUGGAUCAUGUCUUUCUAAUAAAGAACUUAGUUUG